GCAAGUCGAACGGGCCCUUCGGGGCUAGUGGCGGACGGGUGAGUAACGCGUGGGAACGUGCCCUUUGGUUCGGAAUAGCCCCGGGAAACUGGGAGUAAUACCGGACAAGCCCUUCGGGGGAAAGAUUUAUCGCCAAAGGAUCGGCCCGCGUUGGAUUAGGUAGUUGGUGGGGUAACGGCCUACCAAGCCGACGAUCCAUAGCUGGUUUGAGAGGAUGAUCAGCCACACUGGGACUGAGACACGGCCCAGACUCCUACGGGAGGCAGCAGUGGGGAAUCUUAGACAAUGGGGGAAACCCUGAUCUAGCCAUGCCGCGUGAUCGAUGAAGGCCUUAGGGUUGUAAAGAUCUUUCAGUGGGGAAGAUAAUGACGGUACCCACAGAAGAAGCCCCGGCUAACUCCGUGCCAGCAGCCGCGGUAAUACGGAGGGGGCUAGCGUUAUUCGGAAUUACUGGGCGUAAAGCGCACGUAGGCGGAUUGGAAAGUCAGAGGUGAAAUCCCAGGGCUCAACCCUGGAACUGCCUUUGAAACUCCCAGUCUUGAGGUCGUGAGAGGUGAGUGGAAUUCCGAGUGUAGAGGUGAAAUUCGUAGAUAUUCGGAGGAACACCAGUGGCGAAGGCGGCUCACUGGCACGAUACUGACGCUGAGGUGCGAAAGCGUGGGGAGCAAA
RNAcentral lists this ribosomal RNA (669 nucleotides) under uncultured soil bacterium. RNAcentral describes it as "bacterial SSU rRNA". It matches the Rfam family "Bacterial small subunit ribosomal RNA", at positions 57 to 772 of the family's 1533-position model. The record is from RNAcentral.